RNAcentral lists this ribosomal RNA (484 nucleotides) under uncultured bacterium. RNAcentral describes it as "partial 16S ribosomal RNA". It matches the Rfam family "Bacterial small subunit ribosomal RNA", at positions 30 to 507 of the family's 1533-position model. The record is from RNAcentral.
AUUGAACGCUGGCGGCAGGCCUAACACAUGCAAGUCGAGCGGACGAAGGGAGCUUGCUCCUGGAUUCAGCGGCGGACGGGUGAGUAAUGCCUAGGAAUCUGCCUGGUCGUGGGGGAUAACGUCCGGAAACGGGCGCUAAUACCGCAUACGUCCUGAGGGUGAAAGUGGGGGAUCUUAGGACCUCACGCUAUUAGCUGAGCCUAGGUCGGAUUAGCUAGUUGGUGAGGUAAAGGCCUACCAAGGCGACGAUCCGUAACUGGUCUGAGAGGAUGAUCAGUCAAACUGGAACUGAGACACGGUCCAGACUCCUACGGGAGGCAGCAGUAGGGAAUAUUGGGCAAUGGGCGAAAGCCUGAUCGAGCCAUGCCGCGUGUGUGAAGAAGGUCUUCGGAUUGUAAAGCACUUUAAGUUGGGAGGAAGAGAAGUAAGUUAAUACCUUGCUAUUUUGACGUUACCAACAGAAUAAGCACCGGCUAACUUCGUG